This 252-nucleotide ribosomal RNA is filed under the name uncultured bacterium. RNAcentral describes it as "partial 16S ribosomal RNA". It matches the Rfam family "Bacterial small subunit ribosomal RNA", at positions 524 to 776 of the family's 1533-position model. The record is from RNAcentral.
UACGUAGGGGACAAGCGUUAUCCGGAAUCACUGGGCGUAAAGGGUGCGUAGGCGGUCUAGCAAGUCAGAAGUGAAAGGCAUUGGCUCAACCAAUGUAAGCUUUUGAAACUGUUAGACUUGAGUGCAGGAGAGGAAAGUGGAAUUCCUAGUGUAGCGGUGAAAUGCGUAGAUAUUAGGAGGAACACCAGUGGCGAAGGCGACUUUCUGGACUGUAACUGACGCUGAGGCACGAAAGCGUGGGGAGCGAACAGG